This 654-nucleotide ribosomal RNA is filed under the name Rubellofomes cystidiatus. RNAcentral describes it as "eukaryotic LSU rRNA". The stretch from base 244 to 397 matches the Rfam family "5.8S ribosomal RNA". Lineage: Eukaryota; Fungi; Basidiomycota; Agaricomycetes; Polyporales; Fomitopsidaceae. The record is from RNAcentral.
CGUCAUCCGUACUCCGAAGGUCAUUAUGAUUUUGAAGGGGUUGUAGCUGGCCUCUUUCGUUUGAGGAGGCAUUUUGUGCACGCCCCGAUCAUCAUCCAUAUCACACCUGUGAACUUCAUUGUAGGCAGGCUUUUGUGGGGUGGGGUCUUUUAUUGGACCUUGCCUUGUGGGGGCCUUCCUAUGUUUUCACUACUGGCAACUCGUUUAUAGAAUGUCUACUGUGCAUAAAAUGCAUGUCAAUACAACUUUCAGCAACGGAUCUCUUGGCUCUCGCAUCGAUGAAGAACGCAGCGAAAUGCGAUAAGUAAUGUGAAUUGCAGAAUUCAGUGAAUCAUCGAAUCUUUGAACGCACCUUGCGCUCCUUGGUAUUCCGAGGAGUAUGCCUGUUUGAGUGUCAUGGAAUCAUCAACUCCUUUCGCUGUUGUUGAAAGGGGCUUGGACUUGGAGGCUUUGCCGGUUACCAGUGUUAAUGGGCUGGUUUUCGGCUCCUCUUGAAUGCAUUAGCUCGAACCGUUGUGGAUCGGCUUCGGUGUGAUACAUUUGAUUGUCUACGCUGUGCUGUGAAGCAACUCGGGCUUCCAAAAUGUCCUUCGUUGACUUUUGACUUUUGACCUCAAAUCAGGUAGGAUUACCCGCUGAACUUAAGCAUAUCAA